AAGUCGUAACAAGGUAACCGUAGGUGAACCUGCGGUUGGAUCAUUAACAAAUAAAUUUAGGCCCCCGGCUGCCCUUCAAAGGCGAUGGGGAAAACCUAAACAUUUGUGUGCACCAUAUCUGUUUUUGGCAGUUCGAGUGUCCUGAGUUUAAACAACAGACUCAGGUACCUACCUACGCAAACCCUUCGGGUGCUAAGGUUGGGCUGCCGCCCACUUUGAACUAACUUUUGUUUCAUAUUAAUGCCUGAAAUUGUUUGAUCUUCACAGAUUGAAUUUUAAAUACAACUUUUGACAACGGAUCUCUUGGCUCUC
RNAcentral lists this unclassified non-coding RNA (312 nucleotides) under Rhizophlyctis rosea. RNAcentral describes it as "partial internal transcribed spacer region". The stretch from base 1 to 46 matches the Rfam family "Eukaryotic small subunit ribosomal RNA", at positions 1786 to 1831 of the family's 1831-position model. Lineage: Eukaryota; Fungi; Chytridiomycota; Chytridiomycetes; Rhizophlyctidales; Rhizophlyctidaceae. The record is from RNAcentral.